RNAcentral lists this ribosomal RNA (372 nucleotides) under uncultured bacterium. RNAcentral describes it as "bacterial SSU rRNA". It matches the Rfam family "Bacterial small subunit ribosomal RNA", at positions 790 to 1167 of the family's 1533-position model. The record is from RNAcentral.
GUAGUCCACGCCCUAAACGAUGUCAACUAGGUGUCGGGAGCGCAAGUUCUUGGUACCGCAGCUAACGCGUGAAGUUGACCGCCUGGGGAGUACGGUCGCAAGAUUAAAACUCAAAGGAAUUGACGGGGACCCGCACAAGCGGUGGAUGAUGUGGAUUAAUUCGAUGCAACGCGAACAACCUUACCUACCCUUGACAUGUCCGGAAGCCCGGUGAAAGCUGGGGGUGCUCGCAAGAGAACCGGAACACAGGUGCUGCAUGGCUGUCGUCAGCUCGUGUCGUGAGAUGUUGGGUUAAGUCCCGCAACGAGCGCAACCCUUGUCCUUAGUUGCUACGCAAGGGCACUCUAAGGAGACUGCCGGUGACAAACCGGA